AUUGAACGCUGGCGGCAUGCUUUACACAUGCAAGUCGAGCGGCAGCGCGGGGGCAACCCUGGCGGCGAGCGGCGGACGGGUGAGUAAUGCAUCGGAACGUAUCCCGUAGUGGGGGACAACCCAGCGAAAGCUGGGCUAAUACCGCAUAUGCUCUACGGAGGAAAGUGGGGGACCCGCAAGGGCCUCACGCUAUGGGAGCGGCCGAUGUCCGAUUAGCUAGUUGGUGGGGUAAAGGCCUACCAAGGCGACGAUCGGUAGCUGGUCUGAGAGGAUGAUCAGCCACACUGGGACUGAGACACGGCCCAGACUCCUACGGGAGGCAGCAGUGGGGAAUAUUGGACAAUGGGGGGAACCCUGAUCCAGCCAUGCCGCGUGAGGGAAGAAGGUCCUCUGGAUUGUAAACCUCUUUUGGCAGGAAACAAACCUGCGCUAUACGCGCAGCUGAGGGUACCUGCAGAAUAAGCACCGGCUAACUCCGUGCCAGCAGCCG
RNAcentral lists this ribosomal RNA (490 nucleotides) under uncultured bacterium. Its description in RNAcentral is "bacterial SSU rRNA". It matches the Rfam family "Bacterial small subunit ribosomal RNA", at positions 29 to 517 of the family's 1533-position model. The record is from RNAcentral.